RNAcentral lists this ribosomal RNA (1446 nucleotides) under bacterium. Its description in RNAcentral is "bacterial SSU rRNA". It matches the Rfam family "Bacterial small subunit ribosomal RNA". The record is from RNAcentral.
UCCUAAUAAUGCAGUCGACGAACUCUGGUAUUGAUUGGUGCUUGCAUCAUGAUUUACAUUUGAGUGAGUGGCGAACUGGUGAGUAACACGUGGGAAACCUGCCCAGAAGCGGGGGAUAACACCUGGAAACAGAUGCUAAUACCGCAUAACAACUUGGACCGCAUGGUCCGAGUUUGAAAGAUGGCUUCGGCUAUCACUUUUGGAUGGUCCCGCGGCGUAUUAGCUAGAUGGUGGGGUAACGGCUCACCAUGGCAAUGAUACGUAGCCGACCUGAGAGGGUAAUCGGCCACAUUGGGACUGAGACACGGCCCAAACUCCUACGGGAGGCAGCAGUAGGGAAUCUUCCACAAUGGACGAAAGUCUGAUGGAGCAACGCCGCGGUGAGUGAAGAAGGGUUUCGGCUCGUAAAACUCUGUUGUUAAAGAAGAACAUAUCUGAGAGUAACUGUUCAGGUAUUGACGGUAUUUAACCAGAAAGCCACGGCUAACUACGUGCCAGCAGCCGCGGUAAUACGUAGGUGGCAAGCGUUGUCCGGAUUUAUUGGGCGUAAAGCGAGCGCAGGCGGUUUUUUAAGUCUGAUGUGAAAGCYUUCGGCUCAACCGAAGAAGUGCAUCGGAAACUGGGAAACUUGAGUGCAGAAGAGGACAGUGGAACUCCAUGUGUAGCGGUGAAAUGCGUAGAUAUAUGGAAGAACACCAGUGGCGAAGGCGGCUGUCUGGUCUGUAACUGACGCUGAGGCUCGAAAGUAUGGGUAGCAAACAGGAUUAGAUACCCUGGUAGUCCAUACCGUAAACGAUGAAUGCUAAGUGUUGGAGGGUUUCCGCCCUUCAGUGCUGCAGCUAACGCAUUAAGCAUUCCGCCUGGGGAGUACGGCCGCAAGGCUGAAACUCAAAGGAAUUGACGGGGGCCCGCACAAGCGGUGGAGCAUGUGGUUUAAUUCGAAGCUACGCGAAGAACCUUACCAGGUCUUGACAUACUAUGCAAAUCUAAGAGAUUAGACGUUCCCUUCGGGGACAUGGAUACAGGUGGUGCAUGGUUGUCGUCAGCUCGUGUCGUGAGAUGUUGGGUUAAGUCCCGCAACGAGCGCAACCCUUAUUAUCAGUUGCCAGCAUUAAGUUGGGCACUCUGGUGAGACUGCCGGUGACAAACCGGAGGAAGGUGGGGAUGACGUCAAAUCAUCAUGCCCCUUAUGACCUGGGCUACACACGUGCUACAAUGGAUGGUACAACGAGUUGCGAACUCGCGAGAGUAAGCUAAUCUCUUAAAGCCAUUCUCAGUUCGGAUUGUAGGCUGCAACUCGCCUACAUGAAGUCGGAAUCGCUAGUAAUCGCGGAUCAGCAUGCCGCGGUGAAUACGUUCCCGGGCCUUGUACACACCGCCCGUCACACCAUGAGAGUUUGUAACACCCAAAGUCGGUGGGGUAACCUUUUAGGAACCAGCCGCCUA